AUGACUAGAGUAGGUGAGAGGGAAGUAGAAUUCCAGGUGUAGCGGUGAAAUGCGUAGAGAUCUGGAGGAAUACCGAUGGCGAAGGCAGCUUCCUGGCAUCAUACUGACACUGAGGUUCGAAAGCGUGGGUAGCAAACAGGAUUAGAUACCCUGGUAGUCCACGCCGUAAACGAUGUCUACCAGUCGUUGGGUCUCUUGAAGACUUAGUGACGCAGUUAACGCAAUAAGUAGACCGCCUGGGGAGUACGGCCGCAAGGUUAAAACUCAAAUGAAUUGACGGGGGCCCGCACAAGCGGUGGAGCAUGUGGUUUAAUUCGAUGCAACGCGAAGAACCUUACCUGGUCUUGACAUAGUAGGAAUCUUGCAGAGAUGCGAGAGUGCCUUCGGGAAUCUACAUACAGGUGCUGCAUGGCUGUCGUCAGCUCGUGUCGUGAGAUGUUGGGUUAAGUCCCGCAACGAGCGCAACCCUUUUCCUUAGUUACCAGCACUUCGGGUGGGAACUCUAAGGAUACUGCCAGUGACAAACUGGAGGAAGGCGGGGACGACGUCAAGUCAUCAUGGCCCUUACGGCCAGGGCUACACACGUGCUACAAUGGUUGGUACAAAGGGUUGCUACACAGCGAUGUGAUG
This 630-nucleotide ribosomal RNA is filed under the name Moraxella lacunata. RNAcentral's name for it is "bacterial SSU rRNA". It matches the Rfam family "Bacterial small subunit ribosomal RNA", at positions 637 to 1267 of the family's 1533-position model. Lineage: Bacteria; Pseudomonadati; Pseudomonadota; Gammaproteobacteria; Moraxellales; Moraxellaceae. The record is from RNAcentral.